Molecule: small RNA, 609 nt
Filed under: Vigna angularis var. angularis
Lineage: Eukaryota; Viridiplantae; Streptophyta; Magnoliopsida; Fabales; Fabaceae
Description: Non-protein coding transcript
Source: RNAcentral
UUUUGCAGUUAGAUCCUUAAAAGUUAAAACCAUGACAUAGUCCCAAGCUCACAGAGACGUUGAGAAAGAGAACAACAUCGCAACCCUUCUCGGUUUUUAGCUUUUCUCCCCUUUCUUCUCCAUCGCGAACCUGAUGACAGUGGCGGACGUGGCCGGUUCACCAUAACGCAAACUUUGAGUUGGCACCAGAGCUCUCAAUUUUGGGGCUUUGUUUCUGCUAAUGCUACUGUUGCUGUUGCCAUCAUCCACCGUCUGCCUCCUCUGCUGCCGUGUGUGUCCCACACAGGAGAUGACAACACUGACAGUUGCAUCACCUACAGAAACACCAUGUGCUGUCAUGCCCCACUACUAGAGUCAGUGUGUGUAGCCCAUGCACUUUGUUCUGGUGAAACCCUCCCACCGCUGCCACCACAGACAGGACCGCAAAUAUCCCUGAGUCCAUCCCAAGGGUGGUAACAUUGUGAAAAUUUCCCCUAUGGGACCUAAUUAUCUCCCAAAGUGGUGAGUGUCCGUACUGGUCAGGUCAGAUGGUCAAAGAUAUUUGUAGUGGAACUAGUAUAUUUGGAGGAUUCUAAAAAGGACAGUUAAAGUCAAACCACAUCAAUGGAG